AGGUUUAUCAUCGGUUGCAAAAUUUGAAUUUGAUAAUAAACAUUAUGCAUUUGUGAUAUUAUACCUCUUAUACAAAAAGUAACGAAAAGGUUUAACAAACAACGGAGAGGCACGUUGCAUCUUUUACGGAACCGUCGUGUCUAUUCCGGUAACAUCCUUCUUGAGACGGUGUGAUUAUGAAAGACGGUUCGACACUUUAUAAAGGAUGCCUAUAUUUUAUAUGGACUGCGCUAUUUCAAUAAAAUAACCGCCACCAUCACCAAACCAAAUCAACAAUCCUUUCAUCCCUCAAAUUCGAUUUUCUAUUCUCGAGAUUUCAUGCGUAAUUAAAAGCACUCCAUCAUUCGCAUUGAUAUUAAAGAAAUGUCGAUUACAGAAAGGAGACCAAAGAAAACAUGGACGCCAAAAUUCAAGGGCGGUGUGAUGGUAGUUGAGGAGGCAAAUUCAAGCCAGCACCACAACGAGCAACAAUUGUGGCAUACAAUAGCAUCAAAUGACCAGACAAGGAAUUUGAGAAGUUAAAGUUUUCCGAACGAGUAAAGCGACGUUUAAUAUGAUAUGUGACACCACACGCUGUUUGAUGAUUCCGGUUCAUCAACGGGUCGCAAUGUGCUUAUACCGUUUAGCACAACAUAUGUGAGAUCAACGAUGUGGUCGUGGACGAGGAUUUGAAGUUUGAUUUGUUUGAUGAUGAAAUUGUCGUUGGGGAAAAUGAUAGGUGUGAAUUAAUAAAUGCAAUGCAAGUUACAUAUGUCGAAGUACAGGUGCUCUUAUGGUUUGGAAAAGAGGAAUUGGUCAACAGAAGUUAACCACGGGUAUUAUAUGUAUUAUGAGCAACAAGUUAUAAGGUGGAUGGAUGUUGAUAUUUCCAUCCAUUUACACAACUAUGUUGUGCAGCCAAGAUUCAAGCGCGACCGAGAGAUCUACCCCUCCUUAAACAUCUAAAUGUAUGAUCCCUUUCGAGGCCUGUUUGCAAGCGGGCUGAACAGAACUAGCAAUACUUCAAGCACAAUCCAUUACACAGAGACAAAAUGGAGUCUCAAUUGUGUUGCUCUAAGUCCUCAAAUUUCAAUUUUUUGAUGCUUUUGUGUGUUGUAAGGGUUGUUCUCUAGCGCAUCUGGCAUAAUUUCGCCAGGACAUUUGAGUGUGUUGUUUUAUGUUUGUUCUUAGGUCCCUUUUAGCAGCUUGCUAAGGCCUAAGAGGGAUGUUUAUGGUUGAAUAAAGUGGCUUCCCUUUUCAUUCAAAAAAA
Helianthus annuus (common sunflower) is the source of this 1249-nucleotide long non-coding RNA. RefSeq lists it as uncharacterized. NCBI's taxonomy places the organism in Eukaryota, Viridiplantae, Streptophyta, Magnoliopsida, Asterales, Asteraceae. The transcript has 3 exons. The record is from RefSeq and is a predicted model, not a curated record.